GGGUGGUCUGAAUGCAGUGGUGUUUACAACUAAUUAAUCAUAACCAGUUACAGAUUUCUUUGCUCCUUCUCCAUUCCCACUACUUCACUUGACUAGCCUUAA
Unclassified non-coding RNA from Gorilla gorilla gorilla (western lowland gorilla), 102 nucleotides. It matches the Rfam family "Y RNA". Rfam says of the family: Y RNAs are components of the Ro ribonucleoprotein particle (Ro RNP), in association with Ro60 and La proteins. The Y RNAs and Ro60 and La proteins are well conserved, but the function of the Ro RNP is not known. The record is from Ensembl. NCBI's taxonomy places the organism in Eukaryota, Metazoa, Chordata, Mammalia, Primates, Hominidae.